UUAAAAUUAAGAGCAAAUAUAGCCUUUUAGAUAAGUUUUCUAUUUCCGGUGAUAUCAGAAUUUUUUUGGCCAAAGUUAAAAAAGUGAUAUUUAGUUAUAACUCACUAUUUUAAGCCACUUCUGUAAAGUGACUUUUAAAUUCACUUUUGUAAAUCAAACAACCAAUAAAACGUUACUUUUAACCAACCAAACAUGCUCAUAGUUAAACGGAUGAAAAUCUAUUCUUUUUUAAAUAUAUAUCUUAGAGUU
Molecule: long non-coding RNA, 249 nt
Filed under: Ananas comosus (pineapple)
Lineage: Eukaryota; Viridiplantae; Streptophyta; Magnoliopsida; Poales; Bromeliaceae
Description: long non-coding RNA (ACOM_LNC026439)
Source: RNAcentral